RNAcentral lists this transfer RNA (67 nucleotides) under Marmota monax (woodchuck). Its description in RNAcentral is "tRNA.Val". The record is from RNAcentral. Lineage: Eukaryota; Metazoa; Chordata; Mammalia; Rodentia; Sciuridae.
UGCACCUCAGUGGUAGAGUGCUUGUCUAACAUGCACAAGACCCUGGGUUUGAUUCCCAGCACUGCAA